RNAcentral lists this ribosomal RNA (465 nucleotides) under Vreelandella stevensii. RNAcentral's name for it is "partial 16S ribosomal RNA". It matches the Rfam family "Bacterial small subunit ribosomal RNA", at positions 338 to 795 of the family's 1533-position model. The record is from RNAcentral. Lineage: Bacteria; Pseudomonadati; Pseudomonadota; Gammaproteobacteria; Oceanospirillales; Halomonadaceae.
CCUACGGGGGGCUGCAGUGGGGAAUAUUGGACAAUGGGGGCAACCCUGAUCCAGCCAUGCCGCGUGUGUGAAGAAGGCCCUCGGGUUGUAAAGCACUUUCAGUGAGGAAGAACGCCUGGUGGUUAAUACCCAUCAGGAAAGACAUCACUCACAGAAGAAGCACCGGCUAACUCCGUGCCAGCAGCCGCGGUAAUACGGAGGGUGCGAGCGUUAAUCGGAAUUACUGGGCGUAAAGCGCGCGUAGGUGGCUUGAUAAGCCGGUUGUGAAAGCCCCGGGCUCAACCUGGGAACGGCAUCCGGAACUGUCAAGCUAUAGUGCAGGAGAGGAAGGUAGAAUUCCCGGUGUAGCGGUGAAAUGCGUAGAGAUCGGGAGGAAUACCAGUGGCGAAGGCGGCCUUCUGGACUGACACUGACACUGAGGUGCGAAAGCGUGGGUAGCAAACAGGAUUAGAUACCCGUGUAGUC